Molecule: ribosomal RNA, 1197 nt
Filed under: Myroides phaeus
Lineage: Bacteria; Pseudomonadati; Bacteroidota; Flavobacteriia; Flavobacteriales; Flavobacteriaceae
Description: bacterial SSU rRNA
Rfam family: Bacterial small subunit ribosomal RNA
Source: RNAcentral
UCCUGAGAGGGAGAUCCCCCACACUGGUACUGAGACACGGACCAACUCCUACGGGAGGCAGCAGUGAGGAAUAUUGGUCAAUGGAGGCAACUCUGAACCAGCCAUGCCGCGUGCAGGAUGACGGUCCUAUGGAUUGUAAACUGCUUUUGUACAGGAAGAAACCUCGCUACGAGUAGCGAUUUGACGGUACUGUAAGAAUAAGGAUCGGCUAACUCCGUGCCAGCAGCCGCGGUAAUACGGAGGAUCCGAGCGUUAUCCGGAAUUAUUGGGUUUAAAGGGUUCGUAGGCGGUUGGAUAAGUCAGUGGUGAAAUUUCUUAGCUUAACUAAGACCCGGCCAUUGAUACUGUUUGACUUGAAUAGUAUGGAAGUAACUAGAAUAUGUAGUGUAGCGGUGAAAUGCUUAGAUAUUACAUGGAAUACCAAUUGCGAAGGCAGGGUUACUACGUACUUAUUGACGCUGAUGAACGAAAGCGUGGGGAGCGAACAGGAUUAGAUACCCUGGUAGUCCACGCCGUAAACGAUGGAACUAGCUGUUCGGUUUUCGGACUGAGUGGCUAAGCGAAAGUGAUAAGUAUCCCACCUGGGGAGUACGUUCGCAAGAAUGAAACUCAAAGGAAUUGACGGGGGCCCGCACAAGCGGUGGAGCAUGUGGUUUAAUUCGAUGAUACGCGAGGAACUUACCAGGGCUUAAAUGUAGAUUGACAGGUUUGGAAACAGACUUUUCUUCGGACAAUUUACAAGGUGCUGCAUGGUUGUCGUCAGCUCGUGCCGUGAGGUGUCAGGUUAAGUCCAUAACGAGCGCAACCCCUAUUGUUAGUUACCAUCGAGUAAUGUCGGGAACUCUAGCAAGACUGCCGGUGCAAACCGUGAGGAAGGUGGGGAUGACGUCAAAUCAUCACGGCCCUUACGUCCUGGGCUACACACGUGCUACAAUGGUCAGUACAGAAAGCAGCUACCUGGCGACAGGAUGCGAAUCUCAAAAGCUGAUCACAGUUCGGAUUGGAGUCUGCAACUCGACUCCAUGAAGCUGGAAUCGCUAGUAAUCGGAUAUCAGCCAUGAUCCGGUGAAUACGUUCCCGGGCCUUGUACACACCGCCCGUCAAGCCAUGGAAGCUGGGGGUACCUGAAGUCGGUGACCGCAAGGAGCUGCCUAGGGUAAAACUAGUAACUAGGGCUAAGUCGUAACAAGGUAACCA